RNAcentral lists this ribosomal RNA (460 nucleotides) under uncultured bacterium. Its description in RNAcentral is "partial 16S ribosomal RNA". It matches the Rfam family "Bacterial small subunit ribosomal RNA", at positions 338 to 795 of the family's 1533-position model. The record is from RNAcentral.
CCUACGGGAGGCAGCAGUGAGGAAUAUUGGUCAAUGGGCUUACGCCUGAACCAGCCAAGUCGCGUGAGGGAAUACUGCCCUAUGGGUUGUAAACCUCUUUUGCCAGGGAGCAACGCCGGCUUCGCGUAGCCGCACUGAGAGUACCUGCAGAAAAAGCAUCGGCUAACUCCGUGCCAGCAGCCGCGGUAAUACGGAGGAUGCGAGCGUUAUCCGGAUUUAUUGGGUUUAAAGGGUGCGUAGGCGGACUGCCAAGUCAGCGGUAAAAUGGCGGGGCUCAACCCCGGUCCGCCGUUGAAACUGGCGGUCUUGAGUGGGCGAGAAGUAGGCGGAAUGCGUGGUGUAGCGGUGAAAUGCAUAGAUAUCGCGCAGAACUCCGAUUGCGAAGGCAGCAUACCGGCGCCAAACUGACGCUGAGGCACGAAAGCGUGGGUAUCGAACAGGAUUAGAUACCCGUGUAGUC